CUGACCUCAAAUCAGGUAGGACUACCCGCUGAACUUAA
This 38-nucleotide ribosomal RNA is filed under the name Trametes versicolor. RNAcentral describes it as "partial 28S ribosomal RNA". The record is from RNAcentral. Lineage: Eukaryota; Fungi; Basidiomycota; Agaricomycetes; Polyporales; Polyporaceae. RNAcentral also lists the same sequence under 52 other names.